AUUGGGGCUAAGUCGUAACAAGGUAGCCGUACCGGAAGGUGCGGCUGGAAUACCUCCUUUCUAGAGCA
This 68-nucleotide ribosomal RNA is filed under the name Sphingobacterium faecium. Its description in RNAcentral is "partial 16S ribosomal RNA". The stretch from base 1 to 60 matches the Rfam family "Bacterial small subunit ribosomal RNA", at positions 1474 to 1533 of the family's 1533-position model. The record is from RNAcentral. Lineage: Bacteria; Pseudomonadati; Bacteroidota; Sphingobacteriia; Sphingobacteriales; Sphingobacteriaceae.